Canis lupus familiaris (dog) is the source of this 95-nucleotide non-coding RNA. NCBI's taxonomy places the organism in Eukaryota, Metazoa, Chordata, Mammalia, Carnivora, Canidae. The record is from Rfam.
AGGAGGAACAGCCCCAGUGGCGGGGCCAGGUCUGGAAACCUGGAUUCAGCUCCUGCAGGAACUCGGUCUGCAGGGCCUGGAGGCUCUGGGGCGGG